RNAcentral lists this ribosomal RNA (468 nucleotides) under uncultured bacterium. RNAcentral's name for it is "partial 16S ribosomal RNA". It matches the Rfam family "Bacterial small subunit ribosomal RNA", at positions 28 to 507 of the family's 1533-position model. The record is from RNAcentral.
GACGAACGCUGGCGGCGUGCUUAACACAUGCAAGUCGAACGGAAAGGCCCUGCUUUUGUGGGGUGCUCGAGUGGCGAACGGGUGAGUAACACGUGAGUAACCUGCCCUUGACUUUGGGGUAACUUCAGGAAACUGGGGCUAAUACCGGAUAGGAGCUCCUGCUGCAUGGUGGGGGUUGGAAAGUUUCGGCGGGUGGGGAUGGACUCGCGGCUUAUCAGCUUGUUGGUGGGGUAGUGGCUUACCAAGGCUUUGACGGGUAGCCGGCCUGAGAGGGUGACCGGCCACAUUGGGACUGAGAUACGGCCCAGACUCCUACGGGAGGCAGAAGUGGGGAAUAUUGCACAAUGGGCGGAAGCCUGAUGCAGCAACGCCGCGUGCGGGAUGACGGCCUUCGGGUUGUAAACCGCUUUCGCCUGUGACGAAGCGUGAGUGACGGUAAUGGGUAAAGAAGCACCGGCUAACUACGUG